This 2904-nucleotide ribosomal RNA is filed under the name Escherichia coli. Its description in RNAcentral is "23S ribosomal RNA". It matches the Rfam family "Bacterial large subunit ribosomal RNA". Lineage: Bacteria; Pseudomonadati; Pseudomonadota; Gammaproteobacteria; Enterobacterales; Enterobacteriaceae. The record is from RNAcentral. RNAcentral also lists the same sequence under 1 other name.
UUAAGCGACUAAGCGUACACGGUGGAUGCCCUGGCAGUCAGAGGCGAUGAAGGACGUGCUAAUCUGCGAUAAGCGUCGGUAAGGUGAUAUGAACCGUUAUAACCGGCGAUUUCCGAAUGGGGAAACCCAGUGUGAUUCGUCACACUAUCAUUAACUGAAUCCAUAGGUUAAUGAGGCGAACCGGGGGAACUGAAACAUCUAAGUACCCCGAGGAAAAGAAAUCAACCGAGAUUCCCCCAGUAGCGGCGAGCGAACGGGGAGCAGCCCAGAGCCUGAAUCAGUGUGUGUGUUAGUGGAAGCGUCUGGAAAGGCGUGCGAUACAGGGUGACAGCCCCGUACACAAAAAUGCACAUGCUGUGAGCUCGAUGAGUAGGGCGGGACACGUGGUAUCCUGUCUGAAUAUGGGGGGACCAUCCUCCAAGGCUAAAUACUCCUGACUGACCGAUAGUGAACCAGUACCGUGAGGGAAAGGCGAAAAGAACCCCGGCGAGGGGAGUGAAAAAGAACCUGAAACCGUGUACGUACAAGCAGUGGGAGCACAGAGCAAUCUGUGUGACUGCGUACCUUUUGUAUAAUGGGUCAGCGACUUAUAUUCUGUAGCAAGGUUAACCGAAUAGGGGAGCCGAAGGGAAACCGAGUCUUAACUGGGCGUUAAGUUGCAGGGUAUAGACCCGAAACCCGGUGAUCUAGCCAUGGGCAGGUUGAAGGUUGGGUAACACUAACUGGAGGACCGAACCGACUAAUGUUGAAAAAUUAGCGGAUGACUUGUGGCUGGGGGUGAAAGGCCAAUCAAACCGGGAGAUAGCUGGUUCUCCCCGAAAGCUAUUUAGGUAGCGCCUCGUGAAUUCAUCUCCGGGGGUAGAGCACUGUUUCGGCAAGGGGGUCAUCCCGACUUACCAACCCGAUGCAAACUGCGAAUACCGGAGAAUGUUAUCACGGGAGACACACGGCGGGUGCUAACGUCCGUCGUGAAGAGGGAAACAACCCAGACCGCCAGCUAAGGUCCCAAAGUCAUGGUUAAGUGGGAAACGAUGUGGGAAGGCCCAGACAGCCAGGAUGUUGGCUUAGAAGCAGCCAUCAUUUAAAGAAAGCGUAAUAGCUCACUGGUCGAGUCGGCCUGCGCGGAAGAUGUAACGGGGCUAAACCAUGCACCGAAGCUGCGGCAGCGACGCUUAUGCGUUGUUGGGUAGGGGAGCGUUCUGUAAGCCUGCGAAGGUGUGCUGUGAGGCAUGCUGGAGGUAUCAGAAGUGCGAAUGCUGACAUAAGUAACGAUAAAGCGGGUGAAAAGCCCGCUCGCCGGAAGACCAAGGGUUCCUGUCCAACGUUAAUCGGGGCAGGGUGAGUCGACCCCUAAGGCGAGGCCGAAAGGCGUAGUCGAUGGGAAACAGGUUAAUAUUCCUGUACUUGGUGUUACUGCGAAGGGGGGACGGAGAAGGCUAUGUUGGCCGGGCGACGGUUGUCCCGGUUUAAGCGUGUAGGCUGGUUUUCCAGGCAAAUCCGGAAAAUCAAGGCUGAGGCGUGAUGACGAGGCACUACGGUGCUGAAGCAACAAAUGCCCUGCUUCCAGGAAAAGCCUCUAAGCAUCAGGUAACAUCAAAUCGUACCCCAAACCGACACAGGUGGUCAGGUAGAGAAUACCAAGGCGCUUGAGAGAACUCGGGUGAAGGAACUAGGCAAAAUGGUGCCGUAACUUCGGGAGAAGGCACGCUGAUAUGUAGGUGAAGUCCCUCGCGGAUGGAGCUGAAAUCAGUCGAAGAUACCAGCUGGCUGCAACUGUUUAUUAAAAACACAGCACUGUGCAAACACGAAAGUGGACGUAUACGGUGUGACGCCUGCCCGGUGCCGGAAGGUUAAUUGAUGGGGUUAGCGCAAGCGAAGCUCUUGAUCGAAGCCCCGGUAAACGGCGGCCGUAACUAUAACGGUCCUAAGGUAGCGAAAUUCCUUGUCGGGUAAGUUCCGACCUGCACGAAUGGCGUAAUGAUGGCCAGGCUGUCUCCACCCGAGACUCAGUGAAAUUGAACUCGCUGUGAAGAUGCAGUGUACCCGCGGCAAGACGGAAAGACCCCGUGAACCUUUACUAUAGCUUGACACUGAACAUUGAGCCUUGAUGUGUAGGAUAGGUGGGAGGCUUUGAAGUGUGGACGCCAGUCUGCAUGGAGCCGACCUUGAAAUACCACCCUUUAAUGUUUGAUGUUCUAACGUUGACCCGUAAUCCGGGUUGCGGACAGUGUCUGGUGGGUAGUUUGACUGGGGCGGUCUCCUCCUAAAGAGUAACGGAGGAGCACGAAGGUUGGCUAAUCCUGGUCGGACAUCAGGAGGUUAGUGCAAUGGCAUAAGCCAGCUUGACUGCGAGCGUGACGGCGCGAGCAGGUGCGAAAGCAGGUCAUAGUGAUCCGGUGGUUCUGAAUGGAAGGGCCAUCGCUCAACGGAUAAAAGGUACUCCGGGGAUAACAGGCUGAUACCGCCCAAGAGUUCAUAUCGACGGCGGUGUUUGGCACCUCGAUGUCGGCUCAUCACAUCCUGGGGCUGAAGUAGGUCCCAAGGGUAUGGCUGUUCGCCAUUUAAAGUGGUACGCGAGCUGGGUUUAGAACGUCGUGAGACAGUUCGGUCCCUAUCUGCCGUGGGCGCUGGAGAACUGAGGGGGGCUGCUCCUAGUACGAGAGGACCGGAGUGGACGCAUCACUGGUGUUCGGGUUGUCAUGCCAAUGGCACUGCCCGGUAGCUAAAUGCGGAAGAGAUAAGUGCUGAAAGCAUCUAAGCACGAAACUUGCCCCGAGAUGAGUUCUCCCUGACUCCUUGAGAGUCCUGAAGGAACGUUGAAGACGACGACGUUGAUAGGCCGGGUGUGUAAGCGCAGCGAUGCGUUGAGCUAACCGGUACUAAUGAACCGUGAGGCUUAACCUU